UACAGAGGGUGCGAGCGUUAAUCGGAGUUACUGGGCGUAAAGGGCGCGUAGGCGGUUAGUUAAGAUUGAUGUGAAAUCCCUGGGCUUAACCUAGGAACUGCAUCGAUGACUGGCUGGCUGGAGUAUUGUAGAGGGUAGUGGAAUUUCCGGUGUAGCGGUGAAAUGCGUAGAGAUCGGAAGGAACACCAGUGGCGAAGGCGGCUACCUGGACAAAUACUGACGCUGAGGCGCGAGAGCGUGGGGAGCAAACAGG
RNAcentral lists this ribosomal RNA (253 nucleotides) under uncultured bacterium. RNAcentral's name for it is "partial 16S ribosomal RNA". It matches the Rfam family "Bacterial small subunit ribosomal RNA", at positions 524 to 776 of the family's 1533-position model. The record is from RNAcentral.